AAAGCCCGCUCGCCGGAAGACCAAGGGUUCCUGUCCAACGUUAAUCGGGGCAGGGUGAGUCGACCCCUAAGGCGAGGCCGAAAGGCGUAGUCGAUGGGAAACGGGUUAAUAUUCCCGUACUUGGUGUUACUGCGAAGGGGGGACGGAGAAGGCUAUGUUGGCCGGGCGACGGUUGUCCCGGUUUAAGCGUGUAGGUGUGUGUUCCAGGUAAAUCCGGUUCACUUUAACACUGAGGCGUGACGACGAGGCACUACGGUGCUGAAGCAACAAAUGCCCUGCUUCCAGGAAAAGCCUCUAAGCAUCAGGUAACAUCAAAUCGUACCCCAAACCGACACAGGUGGUCAGGUAGAGAAUACCAAGGCGCUUGAGAGAACUCGGGUGAAGGAACUAGGCAAAAUGGUGCCGUAACUUCGGGAGAAGGCACGCUGACACGUAGGUGAAGUGAUUUACUCAUGGAGCUGAAGUCAGUCGAAGAUACCAGCUGGCUGCAACUGUUUAUUAAAA
This 504-nucleotide ribosomal RNA is filed under the name Salmonella enterica subsp. enterica serovar Oslo. RNAcentral's name for it is "partial 23S ribosomal RNA". It matches the Rfam family "Bacterial large subunit ribosomal RNA", at positions 1325 to 1812 of the family's 2925-position model. Lineage: Bacteria; Pseudomonadati; Pseudomonadota; Gammaproteobacteria; Enterobacterales; Enterobacteriaceae. The record is from RNAcentral.